Lathyrus oleraceus (garden pea) is the source of this 6540-nucleotide long non-coding RNA. RefSeq lists it as uncharacterized. NCBI's taxonomy places the organism in Eukaryota, Viridiplantae, Streptophyta, Magnoliopsida, Fabales, Fabaceae. The record is from RefSeq and is a predicted model, not a curated record. The transcript has 2 exons.
UAGAUAAUUUAAAAGAUUAUUGCAUUAUUUUGGAUGUUGGAAUGAAAUGCAUUUUUGUAAUUGUCGUUCAUCUGUAGAAUAUUACAAAGAUGCAUUAAUAAAAUUUUUCAAUGAUCUGAUUUCUAGAAUCUAGAGAUGCAUUUUUGUUUGUGUGAUUUAUGUAUAGGCAUUAUUUUUUAUAAACAAGAUAGAUUGAGGUACGAUAGAGAUGUGCAACAUGCAUCAAUUCAAAGGGAAAAAAUCAAUCAUUGCAGACACAUGUUAUUUUUUGGGACGGAGAGAAAAAACUUAGUUGUAUUCAUUCUUUGAAAAAUAUGUUUGUGAUAAUAUUUGAAGUUUCUGACGAUGAUUUAAUCUUCAAGACCGUGAUACUUUAAAAUGCAUCAACCAUGGCCGAAAGAUUAUGUGUUUGCCACAACCUGGGUAGUGGUUUGAAGAUGUAACACAAUUAUCUGGAUUUGGAGACUUUGGAUUAGGAGACUUGUGCAUGAUCAAUUAUGUUACAGUUAAUCAUGAUAUGUUGUCCACAUUUAUAGGAAGAUGACACUCAGAGACAUCAUUUUUCACCUUUCACAUUCUGAGAUGUCAAUCACAUUGAACGAUGUCUCAUGCUUAUCUUUCGAUCUAGGUGAGAUGUUAUACUAACACAGGAUUGACAAAGAUGGUGCAAUGGAGAUGAUAGUAGACUAUCUAGGAGCUGAUUCAUGGGAUGCCCGUAGGAGUUAUAAGCCACCCGAGGGCUCAUGCCAGGUUUCGACCAAACAUAUGAUAGGUAGCAUGACACUGUUGACGGGCUUUAGUGAGGAGUGUUUGCGGUGUAUAUGUGGUGGGUCCGAAGAUGCAUCUUUAGAUUAAAUUGGAAAUCAUAUGAGGUGAUCCAUACAGUGACGAAUGACAUUUAGGCUGUGCAAUAUGCAUGCGACUUUUCAGCUGUGGAUGAUGUCGAUCUUCUCUGACUUCCUGGAGGAUAUCAUAAAGGUCUUUACAGACGAUUUUUUUUGGUGUGUGGGUCGAGCUUUAAGGAUUGUUUAGCUAAUUUGGAGAAGAGAUGAGUGAAACUCGAUACUGAAUCGGGAAAAAUGUCGCUUUAUGGUGAAGGAGGGCAUAAUCCUCGGACAUCUGGUGUCUGAACAAAGGAUAGAGGUUGACAAAGCCAAGAUUUAGGUGAUAGAAAAGUUAAUGCCUCCCACCACGGUGAGAGAAGUCCGAAGUUUCGUAGGACAUACUAGUUUUUAUCGGUGAUUCAUUAGAGACUUCUCAAAAUAUUCAAAACCCAUGACCGACCUGCUUAUGAAGGACGCCAAAUUCAACUUCGAUGAACAGUGCCUUCAGUCCUUCCAAAAACUAAAGCAUGCACUAAUCUCUACACUAAUAAUGCAACCUUUGGAUUGGAGUCUUUUAUUCGAAAUUAUGUGUGAUGCAAGCGAUUAUGAAGUUACUAGGACAACAGAAGGACAAGAAGAUGCACACCAUCUAUUAUGCAAACAUAAAUAUGGAUGAAGCUCAUAUAAAUUAUGCCACUAUUGAGAAGGAGCUUCUGACUAUAGUCUAUGUCAUUGAUAAAUUUUGUUCUUACUUAGUAGGAUAGAAAAUUAUCGUUUACACUGACCAUGGAUCCAUCAUAUACCUGUUGAGCAAGAAGGAUGUGAAGCCCAAGUUGAUUCGGUGGAUUUUGCUGUUGCAAGAGUUUGGUUUAGAGAUCCGAGAUAAGAAGGGAACGGAGAACGUGGUGACAGAUCAUUUAUCAAGAUUUUGUGAUUUGAAAAAGGAAGAGUUGACUUAGGAUGACUCUUUUCCCGAUGAUAGGUUGAUUGCGCUAGUAUAAUCUAAAGUGCCAUGGUAUACUGACUUCGUUAACUACCUCACAGUUGGAGUCUUGCCUCUAGAUAUAACUACCAGCGCAAUAAGAAGUUCAUUCAUGAUCUGAAACAGUACUACUGAGAUGAAUCUCCAUUGUUCAACAGAGGCGCAAACGGUAUUUUCGACGGUGUGUCCGCGAAGAGGAACUGGAAAGUGUGAUAACCCAUUGUCAUGCCUUCGUCUAUGGCAGACAUGCAAGUACAUCAAAGAUUGUUUCGAAGAUUCUCCAAGUUGGCCUCUAUUGACCAAUCCUCUUUUAGGAUGUCCACAUGUUUAUUGCAAAGUGUGGCUAGUGCCAAAGCAUUGGGAACACUUCUAAAAGGAAUGAAAUAUCAUUGAAAAAUAUCUUAGAGGUUGGAAUAUAUGAUGUAUGUGGCAUGAACUUCAUGGGAACUUUCCCUUCCUCAAUGUGUAACCAUUUCAUACUCAUUGUUGUCGAUUACAUAUCGAAAUGGAUCAAGACCACCGCCUUAUCGACAAAUGAGACAUGAGUAGUUAUCAAGUUGUUCAAGAAAAUCAUCUUCCAAUGGUUCAGAGUCCCUAUGCUUGUUAUAAUCGAUGACAAAUCCCAUUUUAUCUCAAGACAGUUUAAAAAUCUAUUGAAUAAAUAUGGGGUGGCGCACAGAGUUGCAACCUCUUACCCUCCGCAAAUAAGCGGUCGAAUUGAAGUCUCUAAUAGAGAAAUCAAGAAAAUCUUAGAAAAGACCGUCUCCACCUCAAGAAAGGAUUGGGCUGCUAAGCUUGACGAUGCACUAUGGGCCUAUAGGACCACCUAUAAGACACCCAUUGGGACCACCCCAUUCCAACUUGUCUAUGUGAAGUCCUGUCAUUUUCCGGUUGAACUAGAACACAAAUCAUAUUGGGCUAUCAAGGCCCUUAAUAUCGAUUUUAAAGUCGCCGACAAACAAAAGAAGUUGCAAUUGCAUGAGCUAGAAGAACAUAGGCUCGACGCUUAUGAAAAUGCCAGAUUAUACUAAGAGGACAACACUUUGGAAUGAUAACUGCAUCAUUAGGAGAGAAUUUCAUGAAUGAGAACUUGUAUUACUAUUUAACUCCGGGUUGAAGUUAUUCCUAGGGAAACUCCGCUCGUGGUGGUCGGGACCAUUUCAUGUGAAAAAAGUAAUGUCGUUGGGAGCGGUGGAAGUAUGUAGUACAUCCACUACAUCAUUUGCAGUGAAUGGGCAGAGGCUCAAGCACUAUGUGACUAGAGAGGACGUUGAAAGGAGCAUUUGCUUCACUCUAAAGGCACCCUCUAGAGACUGAGAAGUGAAAAAUUCGAGCUAAACGACUAUAAACAAAGCAUUGUAUGGGAGACAACCCACAUGUUUUUCAUUUUUUAUUUAUUAUUUACUUAGGAAAAUAAAAUAGACUAUUCGCUGUGAAAAGGUCAAAAAACCAGGCAUCCGAUAAGCGAAGAGAGUAUGGUGACAAAUAAGUAAAGGAAUGACGUCUGUCAUUGUCCUAACGGUUGUCACAGUUUGAAAUUCCAUGCUAGAACAUACACGUGACCCUUGAGUUGCUAACAAUCAGCCCGUUAGCCACACUGACGCCCAUCAACAACCUGGGACCGAAACCCUAAGUCUCAAAAACGUAAAAAGCCGGUCAUAAGCCCUCUCAUCAAUUAAAAUCAAUGCCUUUUCCUCAAAAUCGAAAACUAUUCUCUCUCCUCACUUACAAAACCAUGUAAACAAUAAAUUUCUCCUUCUUCUUCCAUUUAAAACCACUCACUUCACCUUCCUCAUAUAAAUAAAAACUCCAAUAACAUUAAACCUCUACCUCCCAUUUCAAAACCAUAAACAAAACCAUCAUAGUUCAUUAAUAAACAUCCAUAAAAGUACCCAUUUUUCUCAAAAUCCGAAAAUAUCAUCCUUCACCUGCACAAUUUCAAAAAUUGAAAAUUAUCACCUCUAGCCACCAAAACUGAAAGUCAUCAUGUCUCCAAGGAGAAGAGAAAUUGUUGACUACAUGGGAAUAAAGUUAAAGAAUGAGAGCAAUGAUGUGAUUGAAAAGUUUGCUCAGAGGCAUAUAACGCUUACCAGGUAUGCUGACGAAUCUUGUCUUGGAACUCUGGAUCGGUUUGAUAGUGUUAAUUGGAUGUUCAACCAGAUUGGUUGAAGUCAUUUUUUGACUUUUCAACAUCCAACAUACGAGAGUCUCACACUUGAAUUUGUGAGUUCCUUUAAGUAUCAAUAUGCUAUAAGAACUAGGAGAUGUUUCGGAACAACCACCUUUCGGUUGUUUAACCAAAAGUUUAAGUAUAACUAGAAUGAAAUAAGGGACUUGCUGCAGUUCUCUACAUCUUCUAGCGCCGCCCAAUGGGUUUUCAAAGAGGGACCCUGGAAAAUUGAGUUUGACACAUUUUGGCAGCGGUUGACUGGGAAAAUUUCCUAUAACAUGGAAGGGAAGAAAUCUUCCCACAUUCACAACCCGACCAUAAGGUACUUUUAGAAAGUCCUUGCGCAUACCGUAUUUGGCAAGGGUGAUAACACUAGUAAUGUUAAGAUGAAAGAACUUUACAUUACUUACUUCUCUCUUCAUUAUCUCCCUAUCCACACUUUGGCAUUUAUGCUCACGCACAUGGAAAAAUGGCCAUGGCGAAGAAAGUAAAUAUUGUGGUUGGAGGCUUGAUUACCUCCAUAGAUGUAGCCUUAGGCCUCUGUGCUGAGAUUAGCCAGUUGUAUCUUAUUAUUGGCAGAGCUGUGCUAGACUUGCAUUCAUGUCUUGCCCAGAAGCCUAUUAGGCUGAGAGAUCUACACUCAUAUAUCCUAAUGUUUAGAAAUAAAAGCAUGCAAACACAUGGUGCUGCCAAACCCACAAUAACCAACAUACAAGAUGAGGAAAAUUGGCUUUAUAUAGUGGGUACUGAUGUCCUCAGUAAGACCAACCCCAAUUUCCUCUUCCACAACAACCCUAACCCCAACCCUUUCCCCAUAUGCAUUAUAAUUUUCCUUCGUGUACCUAGUAUGAUUGCCAGGUUAGUGUCGAGUAUGAGCUUAAUGCUCUUUGACACAAAGUAAAGGACAUGCGGGAUAAGGAGCAAGCUUGCUACGAUAGGGAGAACGAAUGGGACCACAAGGAUAAACUUACCUAUUCCUUGGUUCGGCAUAUGCAUUUAUGGUUGAUCAUAAACUCCAGUAUGCCAUCGGCCAACUCCGAUAGCAAUUGAUCUCGCACCAUGUACUAUCUUUCCUUUCCCUUGCUUUUAUCUUUUAACAUUGAGGAUAAUGUAGGCUUUAAGUGUGGGGGAGAAAUUUCUGGUUUUUUUCUAGUUUAGAUUUAUUGUUUUCUAGUUUAGGAUCUCCCCGCUUUCUAGUUUAGAGAUUUAUGCUUAUUUUCUAGUUUAAUUGUUACUGGUUUGAGUCGUUUGCUUGUGUUAUCGAGUUAUUCAUGCGUGCAAAUUCUGCUUGUGUUGUUUGCUUAUCCAUUUUUUGAACUUUUUUUUUUUGAAAAAGCUCAUGAUUGGUAUUGUCCCAACACCUAGCCUCCCAAAUUUGAUAUCGAUUUAAAUCUGCCUUGUAUCAUAGUCUCUACAACUUUUUGAAGUAAUCUCCAAGUAGUUUAUUGAUACAAUCAUACAUACUUUUGAUUCACACAUUAAGUUUGGUUAGCAAAUACAAAUUUGAAAAAAAUAAAAAAGGGCAGUAAAAGGCAACUGUAUCCACUAAGUUUGGUAACCCUCACUCGAUUACUUAAUCCAAUGGUGGUUGAACCCUAAUGUUCACAAAAAAAUAAAAUAAGAAAAUCGUGCUUAAUGUAUGCUUAUGAUAAAAAAUUAAUUUGCAAGCAUUAAUAAAUGAAGAAACAAAAAUUCGUUGGUUUUUCCUUACGUGUGUGUGAUGGUUAUCUUUAUAUUUAUUGGCUUAAUGUGAUUGUCCCGAAUGAAAGGAGAUGAAAAUAUUGGAUAAGUAGCAUUAGGUACAAGGCCAUGGUUUGAGUUAAUAUUUUAGGCGGGAGUCUUUAAUCAGAAAUUCGUAGUUUGUGUUUCUACAAUACCCUUGGUGUUAAUUUGAGUACCAAAAGAAUUAACCUUUAGCCGAUCCGAAUUUGGGAUCACGUAUGAGUAUUGGUGUUAGUACUUUUUAUAAGCUCUUUUCAUAUGUGUUGCUGCAUUUUCAUUUCUUUUAUGCAAUCUAAGUUGCUUGAAGACAAACAGUCGUUCAAGUGUGUGGGAGUUUGAGAACAACUAUUUUCACCGUAUUAUUUAGUUUGAUUUAACACUUUCAAUGACGUUUGGCAUUCUUUUUAUUGAGAUAAGCUGACUUUUUCAUUAUAUUGCAGGUAAUGAACGAUGUUUAUCGGUUGCAGAGAGUAACUACGAAAAAAAUAAGAAAAAUAAAGGUUUAGGAACCAUGACGAGUAGGAUGACGCCCGUCAUGCCCUCAAUCUUCCAAACCAUCACGGUCUCAAUGUAAAAACAAAAUAAUCCAAGUGAAAAACCCAUGACAAGCAUGCCUUCAUGCAUCAUGAUUCCCUUCAUGGGCCCAACUUCCAGAAUCCAGACCCACGCAUCAUAACGGGCAUCCCAUCAUGACGUCCAGAUCUGCAAUUUCUUGGUUUUUCGGCAGCAGUUGCAACAUUUUCUCUAGGAUGUUUUCAUCGGUUCCAACAUGAAUUUUAGGGAUUCCAACUGCUACUUAGUGCUAGGAAACAUAUUAAAAGGGGAUUGCAAUUGAUUUUAAA